This is a non-coding RNA of Gymnopilus junonius, 125 nucleotides long. The record is from the annotation of a GenBank genome assembly. Lineage: Eukaryota; Fungi; Basidiomycota; Agaricomycetes; Agaricales; Galerinaceae.
GGUGAGAUGGCCGAGCGGUCUAAGGCGCCAGACUAAGGAUCAGGACAUUAGAUGUCCGCGGUUCAAGCGGAAUGGCUUAUACAAUCUGGUCAGAAAUGGCGUGGGUUCGAAUCCCACUCUCAUCA